RNAcentral lists this ribosomal RNA (414 nucleotides) under uncultured eukaryote. Its description in RNAcentral is "bacterial SSU rRNA". It matches the Rfam family "Eukaryotic small subunit ribosomal RNA", at positions 1230 to 1656 of the family's 1831-position model. The record is from RNAcentral.
ACGGUAAGGAUUGACGGACUGAAGGCUCUUUCUCGAUUCCGGUGGAAAGUGGUGCAUGGCCGUUUUGGUGGUGGAUCGAUCCGUCUGGUUAAUUCCGUUAACGAACGAGACCUCGGCACUCCGAAUAGCGCGGCGGACGUCGCGGCCUCCGGGCCGUCUUCCGCACGAGCUUCUUAGAGGGACCGUCCCCCGCCGGGGAAGGAGGUGCGAGGCAACGACAGGUCUGUGAUGCCCUUAGAUGUUCUGGGCCGCACGCGCAUUACACUGACGCGUCCAACGGGUGACUCCCGACCCGAAGGGGCCGGGGAAUCCGCAAGGCGCGUCGUGAUGGGGAUUGAACGUUGCAAUUGUUGUUCACGAACGAGGAAUUCCUAGUAGGCGCGGGUCAUCAACCCGCGCCGAUUACGUCCCUGC